RNAcentral lists this ribosomal RNA (301 nucleotides) under uncultured bacterium. RNAcentral's name for it is "partial 16S ribosomal RNA". It matches the Rfam family "Bacterial small subunit ribosomal RNA", at positions 509 to 807 of the family's 1533-position model. The record is from RNAcentral.
CAGUAGCCGCGGUAAGACAGAGGAUGCAAGCGUUAUCCGGAAUGAUUGGGCGUAAAGCGUCUGUAGGUGGCUUUUCAAGUCCGCCGUCAAAUCCCAGGGCUCAACCCUGGACAGGCGGUGGAAACUACCAAGCUAGAGUACGGUAGGGGCAGAGGGAAUUUCCGGUGGAGCGGUGAAAUGCGUUGAGAUCGAAAAGAACACCAACGACGAAAGCACUCUGCUGGGUCGACACUGACACUGAGAGACGAAAGCUAGGGGAGCAAAUGGGAUUAGAUACCCCUGUAGUCCCUGUCUCUUAUAC